GCCUUCAUCGUCUAACGGAAGGACUACUGCCUUGUAAGCAGUGUAUGGUGGUUCAAAUCCAUCUGGAGGCU
This 71-nucleotide transfer RNA is filed under the name Lachnospiraceae bacterium. Its description in RNAcentral is "tRNA-Thr". It matches the Rfam family "tRNA". From Rfam's summary of the family: Transfer RNA (tRNA) molecules are approximately 80 nucleotides in length. Lineage: Bacteria; Bacillati; Bacillota; Clostridia; Lachnospirales; Lachnospiraceae. The record is from RNAcentral.